This 500-nucleotide ribosomal RNA is filed under the name uncultured bacterium. RNAcentral describes it as "partial 16S ribosomal RNA". It matches the Rfam family "Bacterial small subunit ribosomal RNA", at positions 30 to 523 of the family's 1533-position model. The record is from RNAcentral.
AUUGAACGCUGGCGGCAUGCCUUACACAUGCAAGUCGAACGGCAGCACGGACUUCGGUCUGGUGGCGAGUGGCGAACGGGUGAGUAAUAUAUCGGAACAUACCUUGUAGUGGGGGAUAACUAUCCGAAAGGAUAGCUAAUACCGCAUACGCUCUAAGGAGGAAAGUGGGGGAUCGCAAGACCUCAUGCUAUAAGAGUGGCCGAUAUCUGAUUAGCUAGUUUGUGAUGUAAAGGCUCACCAAGGCGACGAUCAGUAGCUGGUCUGAGAGGACGACCAGCCACACUGGAACUGAGACACGGUCCAGACUCCUACGGGAGGCAGCAGUGGGGAAUUUUGGACAAUGGGGGCAACCCUGAUCCAGCAAUGCCGCGUGAGUGAAGAAGGCCUUCGGGUUGUAAAGCUCUUUUGUCAGGGAAGAAACGGUUGUGGCUAAUAUCCAUGGCUAAUGACGGUACCUGAAGAAUAAGCACCGGCUAACUACGUGCCAGCAGCCGCGGUAA